UGAAGUGGCCAGUCUCUCUCUCUCUCUCUCCCUCCCUGUCCCUCUUCCUCUUCCUCACUCUCCGUCUCGGUCACUCGGUACCAGAGCGGUAAUUCUGAAGAGUACUGAGUGAGCAGCUAUACAGUAGUGGGCUCCGUUUCCACACCAGAAGCAGGACCAGCAGGACUUCCCGCUCCCUCCCCGACAGCCCGCAUGGAGGCACUAACCGGCCGCAGACGCUGCGCCCGUGUCCGCUCCCUCACAGAACCUUCUUGUCCAGUCUGAGGGGGGGUUGGGUUGUUGGUGGCGGCGGAAAGAAGAAGUCUGCAAGAUCACUUUCCACCCGAGAGGAGGAUUUUCUUUUUUUUUGAAGGCGAACUGCUCCUCUCUCUCGCUAUUGACUUUCUUGAAAGAGCAUCGAUGAAUUCGGAUAAAAAUGUUUACCUCGGCAGAGACAAAGGCAUCAUGCGGAAGAGAGCCUUGCUCCUUCGGAAGGGCUGCAGCUUCGAGAUUACCAGCUCGGCCUCGGAGGACUUGGGCUGCAGGCGUGGAGACUUCAGCAGGAAGCACUACGGCUCUGUGGAGCUGCUGAUAUCCAGCGAUGCAGAUGGCGCCAUUCAGAGGGCAGGACGCUUCAGGGUGGAGAAUGGCUCCACAGAUGAGCAGACUUUGGACUACACUCCUGGAACCUGGAGGAGAACCGAUGUCCAUCUGGAGAAUCCCGAGUACCACACCAGAUGGUUCUUUAAAUACUUUCUGGGAAAAGUCCAUCAGAACUACGUGGGCACGGAUGCGGAGAAGAACCCCUUCUACCUGUCAGUGGUGCUGUCAGACCAGAACAACCAGCGGGUGCCGCAGUAUCGAGCCAUCCUGUGGAGAAAAACGGGGACCUUGAAGAUCAGCCUCCCCUACAGCCCCACCAAAACACUAUCGGUCAAGUCCAUCCUGAGCGCAAUGAACAUGGACAGGUUUGAGAGAGGCCCCAGGGAGAUCCUCAACCCUGACAUUCAGAAGGAUCUGCUGGUGCUGGAGGAACAAGAGGGCUCUGUCAACUUUAAAUUUGGUGUACUGUACGCCAAAGACGGACAGCUCACAGACGAUGAGAUGUUUAGUAACGAAAUGGGCAGCGACAGCUUUGACAAGUUUCUCAAUCUGCUGGGUGACACCAUCACGCUGCAGGGAUGGGCGGGCUACCGGGGAGGCCUCGACACCAAGAAUGACACUACAGGGAUCAAGUCCAUCUACACGGUGUAUCAGGGCCACGAGCUCAUGUUCCACGUGUCCACCAUGUUGCCCUAUUCUAAAGAGAACAAACAGCAGGUGGAGCGAAAGAGGCAUAUCGGAAACGACAUUGUCACCAUAGUAUUCCAGGAGGGCGAUGAAGUAUCGUCGUCCUUCAAACCCUCCAUGAUCCGAUCGCACUUCACCCAUAUUUUUGCAUUAGUUCGAUAUAACAGCCAGAAUGACAGCUACAGGUUGAAGAUAUUCUCAGAAGAGAGCGUGCCGCUGUUUGGACCCCCUCUACCGUCGCAGCCCGUGUUUACCGAUCACCAUGAAUUCAGGGACUUUUUACUCGUCAAACUAAUCAAUGGAGAGAAAGCCACACUGGAGACACCAACAUUUGCCCAGAAGCGUCAGCGGACCCUGGACAUGCUGAUCCGCUCACUCUACCAAGACCUCAUGCCCGACCUGCACAAGGUCCCUUUUUCCCCACAGAACAUGCUGAACCGGCGCUCCUUCAGCGACGUGCUGCCCGAGUCGCCAAAGUCGGCUCGCAAGAAGGAGGAGGCGCGGCAGGCCGAAUUUGUCAGGAUAGGCCAGGCUCUCAAGCUGAAGACCAUCGUGAGGGGUGAUGCCCCCACCAGCCUAGUCACAACCGGCCUGUGCAGAAAGGAGCCGUGGGAGUCGCAGUCGUUCUGCAGUACGUUCCCGUAUGAGAUCGUGUGUGCCGACUCCUGGGGUCAGUCGUUGCUGGUGGCCACCGACACAGCGGGGGUCGUCCUGCUGGAGGGACCUGAUCCGCCUUCGUCCUGCACCGAAGCGCAGGCUCUCCCCCCGGUGCAAGUGUUUGACAAGACGCUGCUGGUGAAGCAGAUGCACAUUCUCGAGCCUCAGGACCUGCUUGUCACCAGGGCGGACAAAGGGAAGGAUGCUCGGCUUUACGUGUUCCGACUGAGCAUGCUCAAGAGAGGCCUGGAGGAGAGGCAGCUCGCCAGGAGCAAGUGCGACAGCCGGGAGAAUAAACUGGAGAAAACGAAAGGAUGCCAUUUGUACUCCAUUAACACCCAUCACGGCUCGGAGCUGAGGAUCGUGGCAGCCAUCAGGAACAAGCUCCUCCUCAUCACCAGGAAGCGCUUCGAAGGCUUCAGCGCCAUGGGAGCGGACUCGCCGGUGGAGGAGUUUCAGUACAUACGGGAGAUCUGCCUGUGCGACCCGCCCGCGGUGAUGGCGCUGGUGGACGGGCCGACGGGCGAGAACGACAACAUGAUCUGCGUGGCCUACAAGCAUCAGUUCGACCUCAUCAACGAGAGCACCGGCGACGCCUACCGGCUGCACCAUGUCGACGCCAACAGGGUCAAUUUUGUGGCAGCGAUCGACAUGUAUGAAGAUGGCGAGGCAGGUCUGCUGUUGUGCUACAAUUAUGUUUGUUACUACAAGAAAGUUUGUCCGUUCAACGGCUCCACGCCCAUGAUCCAGUCCAACACGUCCGACUUCCACUUCAGCUGGAACCAGAUGCCCAAUGCUAUUGUUUGCGCCUUCCCGUACAUUUUGGCCUUUACGACAGACUCCAUCGAGAUCCGCCUGGUGGUCAACGGCAACCUUGUGUACACGGCGGUGGUCCCGGAGCUGCAGCUAGCCUCCUCACGGUCGGACAUCUACUUCAUUUCGUCGGCACCGGUGAGCUCGGCCUCCAACUGCAGUUCCAGAGACACCAGUUCACAGAGUUCCCCGCAAACUCCCACCGGCUACGAGAUGCCCGUCUUCCCCUCGCCCCUCGGUGACGAUUCUAUACGGAUCCCCUACGGUACCAAGCUUUCGCUGUACAUGUCAAAGGAUGCCGAAGGUGACGCGUCGUGCAAACACGUCUUCAAGAUCCCGCUGUGCAACCUGGUGGGCCGCAGCAUCGAAAGGCCACUCAAGUCGCCGCUGGUCAACAAAGUGCUGACGGCGCCGUCGGCUCCCGCCGUGGUCGCCACCACGCCCCUCAUCUCGGCCACGCACUCGCUCUCGCUCUCCCGCAUGGAGAUCAAGGAGAUAGCCAGCCGCACGCGCAAGGAGCUGCUGGGCCUAACAGAAGAACCCAGCGGGAAAUCGGACAGCGGCACUUUGAAACAGAGGAAGAUGAGCAAGAAGAACACGGAGGACGAAGCUAAACCUCGAGCGCUGACGUCAACAAACAGCGACAGGUUGGACUCUGAGGCCAGUGAGUCGGACCUGGACAUCUGCGCCGUGUCGUCCCACCUGGAGGCUGAGCCGGAGAAGUCGGUGCUGCAGGCGGAGAGUCCGCCGCUCGCCAGCGCCUUCGCCCUUGCCACUUCCUUUGAGGAAGACGUCCUGGACCUAAAGUGAAGACAAUCCCAUCGUGCACUUCUCUCCACGGCCUUUUCUAGGCUCUCCUUCUUUUUGCUUGCCGUGCUUCUUUGGUUGGCUUUAUAUCACAUGUUUGCAUCUUUGUGAGUGUCCCCUUCCACAGGACAAGACUGACGUUUUUGUCAGAGUCGCCCUGCUGCACCAGUUAACCCAAAGAGGCAACAAUGAGCUUUAGAGGCCAUUUUUGUCCUUCAGCAGCCUUCAGAUGACAGUUGAUCCCAAACCUCAAACUGAAUGUAAAUCUGCACAUUCAACACAAUUCACUCUCCCAUCACUAUACCCAUUCUUAUUUUUCCCACUCCACCUUGUAAUGAUGAUGCUAGUGUACAUCUGUUUAUACGCAAAGACAGUGUCUAUAUUAGGAAAAAAUAUAUAUAUUUUAUUCUCAUAUUUAGUAAAUGUUCUAUGCUGUGUUCCAGUUGCCCCCUUCUACUCAAUAUACGCAGGUUAACAGGGCUGGAGGUGUGUCAUUAAGUGCCAUUUCUCAGCAGCCACCAGUGCGCCUCCUUGAAAGACAGCAUACUUCCGGUAGCAGCCAUGAUUGUAGUCCACGUCCGGUGGAGCGCUUUACAAGAAAAACCCAUGUUGAAGCAAAGUGUCCUUGCUUUCACAAACAAACAAAUGACAAAGUUAGCAUAGAAUUAUUCAUAUUUAGCGAUAUUGCGUGUGUUUUGGGCAACAAAAGCGUUUUGAGUGUACAAUUGCCACCUUUUGCAGAUUAAACCCUGCCGUGGCUCACUAUCGCCUCUUCAGGUCGCAAGUGGUAUUACGAGAUAAUCGACAAUUCUCCGUCUGUGAACUACAAAGUAAAUAUGGCUUCCUGGUAGCAGUGUGUCCAACUAUGCUAACAUUGGUACUACAGCGCCUCCGUGUGGUGGCUUUGCGUCACAGCAGCCUUCUGAUCGCUUGCAUGAGCUAGCUCUUCUUCAUGUCCUCCUCUUUCCUGCUCGUGUCCUCCAUUUAAAAAAGGCGGUGGAAGGUGGAUGUUUACAAGAUGCUCCACUCUGUGUGUUUUAUGACUGAGGUCCACGUGGCCGUCUGUGGAUGAACGAUGGGCUGAGCAGGCUAACACGCAGACGCCUCCGGGCAGGAAGCAGUCUGCUGGGGAGGAGGAGAAAGGAAAGUCGAUAAAAUGCGAUGGAAUUAUUUCAGUCAGUCAAAUACGCCCCCAAAAAUGUCAUUUUUACGCAAUUUUGCUGAUUGCUUUUUAAGGCGGAAGGGGAAGUUCAAAGUUCACCCGUAAGAAAGUCAAAAAUCAAUUUGCAACAAACCGCACUGAGUCAAAUCUCAAAUGAAAGACCUCGGUGAGCACUUUCUAGAUCUGCAAUUAUUUUCUCAUCAUAACCUUUUAUCAUUCCUAAUAUGACAGGAAACAUUUUUUGCUUGUUUAUUUCUGCUUGAAAAUGUCAUCUUCGCCAAAUAAAUACAAAAACUCUUCAUAUUCACCGUGUAUGUUCCUUGGCCUCAUGCGUUUUGACAGGUCAAAGCUUCAACAUUCAGAGUGCCAAAGUUCACCCGGAAGAAAGUCAAAACUUAUGAAUUUGCAACAAACCACAUUGAGUCACAUCUCAAAUGAAAUGCCGCCCCCCCCCGGCGAGCACUUUCUGGAUCUGUAUUUUGUCAUUAUAACCCCUUAUAAUUACCAAAAUGACCAAAAAAAACACGUUUUGCUUGUUUAUUUUUGCUUGGGAAUGUCAUCUUGCCCAUUUAAUCGUUUACCAAAUGAAUACAAAAACUCGUCUUAGUCAUGGUAGUAUAUGUUCUUUGGCAUCAUACAUUUAUAUCUGGUGAAAGCAUUAACAUUUACAGUACCUAAAUUCAAAGUUCACUCAUAAUACACUAAGUCUCCUACUAAUGAACAUCCGACGUGCGGACUUUCGGGAUACGAACACAAGCCGACUAGUCUAUAUUUUCAUGUGUUUUGCCUUAUAAGUCCAUAUUUAUACUGUACAUGCUUGACCAGCAGAGGGCACUGUGACACUGCUAAUGGCACCAACAGCGGGAGAACAAGAGGAGGAGGAGGGGAGGAGAGAGAAGGCUACCUUGUAGUUUUAUGAUACAACCCGGACAGAGCGUGUUAUUAAAGUUUAUGAAGAGUUAAUAGGCCUGCUUAAUUCUACACCACCCACAGAACACUACCUCUUUUAGAAGAGUCUAACCACCACCACCAUUUGUCCUUUUUUUCAAUAUCUCCUCCUCCUCCUCCACGAUGACGUAUGCUCGACCACUCCUCUUCAAAGGAAAACUCCACAAAUCUCAAAGAAUCCCAGCUUGAGUCAUCAUCCGGCAUCAGGAAAAUCACCGGCAAAGCACACAACAAUGCUGGAGAAAUAUCAGCCUGAGGCACGAGGUGAUAAAACACAACAUAGCAGCAGGGUGAUGGGAGACGCCCCCCCCUCCCCUCCCUCCUUCGUGCUCCCUGGGGCCCCCUCAGGAUAUGACAGAGAACAGACGCUUACAUAAGAGCUGCAGGAAUGCUUGGAGCUUCGCCCGUGGAAUCGUGGAUGAUGCCCAUGCACGGGGCCCCUCAUCAAAUGACACAAAUGUGAGGGUCUUCCUUCAAGAGCUUCGUCAAAGACAAAAGAACACAGCGAGACGGCGUUUGCUUUGACAACACGUGAGCGUCCUCUCGACACAAAAUAAACUUCAAACGCAUCCUGUUUGGUAAACAUAUUGCACUCCUCGGUGGUGGUGGUGUUGGGGGGGGUCAAAGGUGACCACGGUCCUAAGCGUACGCCGCCACGGCUGCCAGGAUCUGCAGCGCCAUGGAGACGCACGGCACCUGCGCCACCACGUAGGCCAGCGAGCGGGUGGGCGCCGGCAGGGCCCCCAGGUAGGCCACGCUGUGCAUAGCGCGAGCCCCCAAGAACACCAGGAAGUGGAGGCGCGCCACGGCCAGCGAGGGGCCCGUCAUGGAGUACACAGCGCCCAGGAAGAGGAAGGGGAAGAUGUUCUCCAUGUCGUUGCGGUGAGCUCUGCAAGAAGACAAGGUGGGGGUUUGAAACUGGUUUUUCAUUGCUAGCAUCACUGUCGUCAUCACAAAAGCACCUCAUUAGGGCCUGUUAGCACAAAAAUGUAAUUUUUGAUAAUACUAAACACUUUCCAAGGCACCCAAAGCGCUUCACAAUGAAGUGAACGCAUCAUUCAUUCACUGGUGGUGGUGGUAUUCUAUAUCUGUAUCAACAGCUGCCUUGCAGUAGUCUGACAGAAACAUGGCUGCCAAUCACUGCCUGCGGCCGCUCCGACCACAACCAAACAUUCAUUUGCAUUCAUACACCAGUGUGGGCAGCACUGGAGGCAAGUGGGUGAAGUGGGGCACCAUGACAAAAAUAUAGUGGGACACGACAACAGUGGCCAGAGUGAGGAUGGAACCUGCCCUACCUCCAGAGCCGCAGCCGCCCAACUUUUAGGACACUUCCGUGUACAUCCGACAACGUUUUUCGAUCUAUCCUCGUCCUGUGCCCGAGCCGUGCACAGAACGUAACACCUGCUUUUCCCAAAAGCGUAUUUGUAACAUUGUAGUCACCGUUUACUUGGAUGGGAAUUUGUGUCCAGGUAGCCCCGAGUCUCCGCUGGUCACACUUGACUGUGCAGGCGUCAGUAGAAGGCCUCAGAACGCACACAAAAAUACAAAGUUGCCUCUCGGAAUGUUUACAUGCGACGCAGUGUUAGGGCCACGUUGAAAAAAAUAUAAUCAUCUGAUAAUAACCUUUCGAGAACAAAGUCGUAAAUGUACGAGAAAGUCGUAAACUUACGGGCAUGAAGUCACAAAUUAUUCUUCAUGCUCGUAAUGUUACGAGUUUUCUCUCGUGAAUUAAAGAGUUUAUUCUCGUAAAUUUACGACUUUAUUCUCGAAAUUUGCGAUGAUUUGAACACUCCAUCGUAACGGGCGUUGCCUGGGACAGCCGCUGGACGAAAAGGGAGGGCUUACGUGACCUUCGGCAUUGGGCUAAUUCCGACUUUUUUUCUUGGAAAUUUACGACAUUUUUUUCUUGUUGUUUAACGACUUUUUCCUUGGAAAUUCACGACUUUAUUCUUGAAAGCUCAGAUGUCUUUUUUUCUUCCGUGUAGUCCCAAUACUCCGUCCGUGAUACUCGUCCACUUUUCAGACACGUCUUUUCAAAUUCUUUGCAUUGUUAAAAAAAGAAAAAAAAAAAAUUUUUUUGCGUUUUAUAUUUUCAAAAUAGCUCUGAUGCACUUCUUUUAAUGACACUUAGAAUACAAUGUAAAGACAAGAAGUGAAACAUUUUAUUUUAUUUUGAAAUAUAUAUUGCUUUUUUUUAUUGAUGGUUUAAAAAACAUUUGCUCUGAUGCACUUAUUUGAAUUACGUAACCCGGGAUGACCACGUAAAUAAAAACAUAGAAAAUGGAUGGAUGGAUGGAAAAUGUCAAAACGAGAAUGACAUUUUGAUGUAAACAUAUGAAUUUUUAUCGAAAUCAAAAUCUUGAUUCAAUUCAGUAUCAUCUCAGUA
Dunckerocampus dactyliophorus (ringed pipefish) is the source of this 8042-nucleotide RNA transcript. It is a transcript of the gene named GTPase activating Rap/RanGAP domain like 3, with no coding region annotated. NCBI's taxonomy places the organism in Eukaryota, Metazoa, Chordata, Actinopteri, Syngnathiformes, Syngnathidae. The record is from RefSeq and is a predicted model, not a curated record. The transcript is spliced from 34 exons.